Molecule: transfer RNA, 84 nt
Filed under: Candidatus Iainarchaeum sp.
Lineage: Archaea; Nanobdellati; Candidatus Iainarchaeota; Candidatus Iainarchaeia; Candidatus Iainarchaeales; Candidatus Iainarchaeaceae
Description: tRNA-Leu
Rfam family: tRNA
About the family: Transfer RNA (tRNA) molecules are approximately 80 nucleotides in length. Their secondary structure includes four short double-helical elements and three loops (D, anti-codon, and T loops). Further hydrogen bonds mediate the characteristic L-shaped molecular structure. tRNAs have two regions of fundamental functional importance: the anti-codon, which is responsible for specific mRNA codon recognition, and the 3' end, to which the tRNAs corresponding amino acid is attached (by aminoacyl-tRNA synthetases). tRNAs cope with the degeneracy of the genetic code in two manners: having more than one tRNA (with a specific anti-codon) for a particular amino acid; and 'wobble' base-pairing, i.e. permitting non-standard base-pairing at the 3rd anti-codon position.
Source: RNAcentral
GCAGGGGUAGCGAAGCGGUCAAACGCAGCAGACUCAAGAUCUGCCGGCUUAGUGCCUUCGGCGGUUCGAAUCCGCCCCCCUGCA